This 982-nucleotide ribosomal RNA is filed under the name human gut metagenome. RNAcentral's name for it is "bacterial LSU rRNA". It matches the Rfam family "Bacterial large subunit ribosomal RNA", at positions 1945 to 2925 of the family's 2925-position model. The record is from RNAcentral.
ACGGUCCUAAGGUAGCGAAAUUCCUUGUCGGGUAAGUUCCGACCUGCACGAAUGGCAUAAUGAUGGCCAGGCUGUCUCCACCCGAGACUCAGUGAAAUUGAAAUCGCCGUGAAGAUGCGGUGUACCCGCGGCUAGACGGAAAGACCCCGUGAACCUUUACUAUAGCUUGACACUGAACAUUGAAUUUUGAUGUGUAGGAUAGGUGGGAGACUUUGAAGUAGUCACGCCAGUGAUUAUGGAGUCGACCUUGAAAUACCACCCUUUAACGUUUGAUGUUCUAACGAAGAUUGCGAAACGUGGUCUCGGACAGUGUCUGGUGGGUAGUUUGACUGGGGCGGUCUCCUCCCAAAGAGUAACGGAGGAGCACGAAGGUUUGCUAAUGACGGUCGGACAUCGUCAGGUUAGUGCAAUGGUAUAAGCAAGCUUAACUGCGAGACAGACAAGUCGAGCAGGUACGAAAGUAGGUCAUAGUGAUCCGGUGGUUCUGAAUGGAAGGGCCAUCGCUCAACGGAUAAAAGGUACUCCGGGGAUAACAGGCUGAUACCGCCCAAGAGUUCAUAUCGACGGCGGUGUUUGGCACCUCGAUGUCGGCUCAUCACAUCCUGGGGCUGAAGUAGGUCCCAAGGGUAUGGCUGUUCGCCAUUUAAAGUGGUACGCGAGCUGGGUUUAGAACGUCGUGAGACAGUUCGGUCCCUAUCUGCCGUGGGCGUUGGAGAAUUGGUUGGGGCUGCUCCUAGUACGAGAGGACCGGAGUGGACGCACCACUGGUGUUCCGGUUGUGUCGCCAGACGCAUUGCCGGGUAGCUAAGUGCGGAAGAGAUAAGUGCUGAAAGCAUCUAAGCACGAAACUUGCCAAGAGAUGAGUUCUCCCAGAUUUAAAAUCUGUAAGGGUUGUUUAAGACUAAGACGUAGAUAGGCAUGGUGUGUAAGCGGUGCGAGCCGUUGAGCUAACAUGUACUAAUUGCCCGAGAGGCUUAACUAU